GAUUGUAAUCUGUCAUACAGACUUCUUUUCGCUGGCUCCAGAUAACUUUAUUAUGUCUGUUGUUAUUAAGUGCUAACCAUAGGUGCUACUGUGGAUUUAGUUGGAGACUUGUGUGUUAUUGGGGCUGGACACAAGAGGUCCCUGUGCUUUCUCUCUCCAAAAUUUGUUACUGCUAGGUCCAUUACCUCUAGACAAAAAGGGCUAGCAAGUAACAAGUGGGAGCUCGUCCUUUCAAGUGAAAGUUUACCGUGGUGUAAUUGUUUCAAGGCAGGCUACCAAACAAGUUGUUAAAGAUGACUUGCGGGAAAAGCUAGUUGAUUUAAGGGAUUUUACCUGAUUAUUCUGCCGUCAGUGCUGAGGAACAACCUGGAUUCACCGCAGAAGCCGUGGCAGUAGAUGCCAGUGCUACCGGUGCUGGAGCAGUCCUGCUGCAGGAGGACUCCAGUGGAAUUGACCACCCCAUCUGCUUCUAAGAAGUUCUCGAAAUGCCAACAACACUACAGUAUGAUUAAGAAGGCCCUCGCCGUGCUGUUAGCUCUUCAACAGUUCAAGGUUUACUUGGGGAAGCAGUGCCAUGCCUAUCGCUGUGUACACUGACCAUAACCCAUUGAUCUUUCACUCCCGCAUGUCCAACUCCAAUCAACAUUUGAUGCGCUGGGCUCUAAUUGUCCAGGAGUAUAACCUUAAUCUCCAGCACAUCCGUGGUAAAGACAAUGUGGUGGCGGAUGCGCUCUCUAGGAUUGCAGAUGUGGAGACUUUGUGAUUUGUUCUAUGUGCUUUGUGGUAGAUUUUUUUUUUUAUUUAUUUUUUUAUUUUUAUUUUUUUGUUCUCCCCCUUGGUUACUGCUACCAUUCUCAUGCAGGUGAUUGGGUUCACCUGUUGCUGGUUUGCUGCCCAUUCACCUCAGCUCCACUGAUUGGCUGCAGCCAGGAGAAAGCCAGCAUAUAAAGCCAGCACUGCCUCACAACAAGCUGAGAGGGUUGCAGAUUGUAACCGGUCACACGGACUUUUCGCUGGCUCCAGAUAACUUUGUCUGUUAAGAACUAACCAUUGGCGCUACUGUGGAUUUAGUUGGAGACUUGUAAGUUUUAGAAUUUAAGUGUUUUGUAAGGAAACUUGUGGGGAGUUGGGUGCCUUUUUUCUUUAAUUGCUUUUCUCCUGGUUAUCUGGGUUGUCAAGGAGAUGGGAAGUUCAUUUCUUUUGGUUUAUCUAUAGGCAAGUUAUGGUUAAAACUGAGUUAGAAAUGUUUUUGUGUG
Molecule: long non-coding RNA, 1256 nt
Organism: Sinocyclocheilus anshuiensis
Lineage: Eukaryota; Metazoa; Chordata; Actinopteri; Cypriniformes; Cyprinidae
Exons: 4
Source: RefSeq, a predicted model, not a curated record